CAGAAGCAAGCUCUGAUGCAGCUACCACUCAUCACAAGCCUUUAUGGGAUCCCUAAACACUGGAAGAGAUUACUAUGGUUGCAGUAACCAGUACAAAGACCCAGUUGAAGAUGCAUACAUCUAGAAUUUGAUGGUGUUUACAACGACUUGUAGAGGUGAGAGAGUCUACCUUUUGAGAACUUUGAUCCUUUCAAGAAGAUCUAGAAAAGUCCUGAAUGCCUGAGAUCAUUGAUAUGGACGUGGAAAAGGAUGCUUCACUAGGAUAAGGAUGCAGAAAUUGAAGAUGAGAGGUUACAAAGCUGCUCAAGGUUCUGGUUCUGGUAGAAGCUUGAGAACAACUCAAUUCCUACUUCCCAUUUACUACUACAGAUGAGAAAAGAAGAAAAAUAAAUCCACAGAAUUCACCUCUGGAAGAUUUAACAAAAGUUUGGAUGCCCUAAAUCAGAGACUCCACUGCCACAACACUUCUUUGCUGAUUUGACAUCUGGGGCCUUGCUGACCUUGGAGGGCCCCUCCCAGGGAUCAACAAUUCCUACAGAUAGGAAACAACACACUU
This is a long non-coding RNA of Canis lupus familiaris (dog), 556 nucleotides long. RefSeq lists it as uncharacterized. The transcript is spliced from 5 exons. NCBI's taxonomy places the organism in Eukaryota, Metazoa, Chordata, Mammalia, Carnivora, Canidae. The record is from RefSeq and is a predicted model, not a curated record.